Molecule: ribosomal RNA, 303 nt
Filed under: uncultured bacterium
Lineage: Bacteria
Description: partial 16S ribosomal RNA
Rfam family: Bacterial small subunit ribosomal RNA
Source: RNAcentral
AGCAGCAGCCACGGUAAUACAGAGGGUGCGAGCGUUAAUCGGAUUUACUGGGCGUAAAGCGUGCGUAGGCGGCUUUUUAAGUCGGAUGUGAAAUCCCUGAGCUUAACUUAGGAAUUGCAUUCGAUACUGGGAAGCUAGAGUAUGGGAGAGGAUGGUAGAAUUCCAGGUGUAGCGGUGAAAUGCGUAGAGAUCUGGAGGAAUACCGAUGGCGAAGGCAGCCAUCUGGCCUAAUACUGACGCUGAGGUACGAAAGCAUGGGGAGCAAACAGGAUUAGAUACCCCUGUAGUCCCUGUCUCUUAUAU